This 482-nucleotide ribosomal RNA is filed under the name uncultured bacterium. RNAcentral describes it as "partial 16S ribosomal RNA". It matches the Rfam family "Bacterial small subunit ribosomal RNA", at positions 28 to 507 of the family's 1533-position model. The record is from RNAcentral.
GAUGAACGCUAGCGGCAGGCCUAAUACAUGCAAGUCGAACGAGAUUAAGAGGCUUGCUUCUUAUGAAAGUGGCGCACGGGUGCGUAACGCGUAUGCAACCUACCUUCAUCAGGGGGAUAGCCCGAAGAAAUUCGGAUUAAGACCGCAUAAAAACACAGGAUAGCAUUAUCCAAUGUUCAAAUAUUUAUAGGAUUAAGAUGGGCAUGCGUGUCAUUAGCUAGUUGGCGGGGUAACGGCCCACCAAGGCGACGAUGACUAGGGGAUCUGAGAGGAUGACCCCCCACACUGGUACUGAGACACGGACCAGACUCCUACGGGAGGCAGCAGUAAGGAAUAUUGGUCAAGGGAGGGAACUCUGAACCAGCCAUGCCGCGUGCAGGAAGACAGCCCUCUGGGUCGUAAACUGCUUUUAUUCGGGAAUAAACCUUUCUACGUGUAGGAAGCUGAAUGUACCGAAGGAAUAAGGAUCGGCUAACUCCGUG